GGACCUGACUGCUAUCGGAUUGAUACUAAGCCAUGCGAGUCAUUGUAGCAAUACAAGGCAUACGGCUCAGUAACGCGUAGUCAACCUAACCUAUGGACGGGAAUAACCUCGGGAAACUGAGAAUAAUGCCCGAUAGAACAUUAUGCCUGGAAUGGUUUAUGUUCCAAAUGAUUUAUCGCCGUAGGAUGGGACUGCGGCCCAUCAGUUUGUUGGUGAGGUAAUGGCCCACCAAGACUAUUACAGGUACGGGCUCUGAGAGGAGUAGCCCGGAGAUGGGUACUGAGACACGGACCCAGGCCCUAUGGGGCGCAGCAGGCGAGAAAACUUUGCAAUGUGCGAAAGCACGACAAGGUUAAUCCGAGUGGUUUCUGCUAAAGAAACCUUUUGUCAGUCCUAGAAACACUGAUGAAUAAGGGGUGGGCAAGUUCUGGUGUA
This 435-nucleotide ribosomal RNA is filed under the name uncultured archaeon. RNAcentral's name for it is "bacterial SSU rRNA". It matches the Rfam family "Archaeal small subunit ribosomal RNA", at positions 19 to 459 of the family's 1478-position model. The record is from RNAcentral.